UACGUAGGGGCCUAGCGUUGUCCGGAUUUAUUGGGCGUAAAGGGCGCGUAGGCGGCCACGCACGUCCGUUGUGAAAUCGCCCGGCUCAACUGGGCGGGGUCAGCGGAUACGGUGUGGCUCGAGCAAGCUAGGGGGCAAUGGAAUUCCCGGUGUAGUGGUGGAAUGCGUAGAUAUCGGGAGGAACACCAGUGGCGAAGGCGGUUGCCUGGAGCUUUGCUGACGCUGAGGCGCGAAAGCGUGGGGAGCGAUCCGG
This 253-nucleotide ribosomal RNA is filed under the name uncultured bacterium. RNAcentral's name for it is "partial 16S ribosomal RNA". It matches the Rfam family "Bacterial small subunit ribosomal RNA", at positions 524 to 776 of the family's 1533-position model. The record is from RNAcentral.